GCGUCGGUAGUGCAAUGGUUGAACACGCGCUCCCGGAAACAGCGAAAUCUGAGUUUGAAUCCCAGCUGGCGCA
This is a non-coding RNA of Parelaphostrongylus tenuis, 73 nucleotides long. The record is from the annotation of a GenBank genome assembly. NCBI's taxonomy places the organism in Eukaryota, Metazoa, Nematoda, Chromadorea, Rhabditida, Metastrongylidae.